RNAcentral lists this ribosomal RNA (365 nucleotides) under Pentatominae sp. WCW-2007. RNAcentral's name for it is "eukaryotic LSU rRNA". It matches the Rfam family "Eukaryotic large subunit ribosomal RNA", at positions 674 to 989 of the family's 3401-position model. Lineage: Eukaryota; Metazoa; Arthropoda; Insecta; Hemiptera; Pentatomidae. The record is from RNAcentral.
AUCUAGCGUGUGCNCGAGUCAUUGGGUGUNAAACCUAAAGGCGCAAUGAAAGUGUCAGGGGUGACUCCUUCAGGAGCGCAUCCCGUUGGGAGGAUGGGCGACCCGUACGAUCACUCGUCGGAGCCCCGCACUCCCGGGGCGUCUCNUUCUCAUCACGAGUGGAGACGCNCCAGGAGCGCACACGCUGGUACCCGAAAGAUGGUGAACUAUGCCUGGCCAGGACGAAGCCAGGGGAAACCCUGGUGGAGGUCCGAAGCGAUUCUGACGUGCAAAUCGAUCGUCUGAGCUGGGUAUAGGGGCGAAAGACCAAUCGAACCAUCUAGUAGCUGGUUCCCUCUGAAGUUUCCCUCAGGAUAGCUGGCUCU